CCUACGUGGCGCAGCAGUGAGGAAUAUUGGUCAAUGGGCGGAAGCCUGAACCAGCCAAGUCGCGUGAGGGAGUAAGGCCCUACGGGUCGUAAACCUCUUUUGCCGGGGAGCAGUGCCCAGCUCGUGAGCUGGGAGGGAGCGUACCCGGAGAAAAAGCAUCGGCUAACUCCGUGCCCGCAGCCGCGGUGAUACGGGGAAUGCGAGCGUUAUCCGGAUUUAUUGGGUUGCAAGGGUGCGUAGGCGGGCCUUCAGGAAGGCGGUAAAAUUGCGGGGCUCAACCCCGCCGAGCCGUCGGAACCGGGGGCCUUGAGUACCGGAGAAGUACGCGGAAUGCGUGGUGAAGCGGUGAAAUGCAUAGAUAUCACGCAGAACCCCGAUUGCGAAGGCAGCGUACCGGCCGGUCACUGACGCUGAGGCACGAAAGCGCGGGUAUCGAACAGGAUUAGAUACCCGAGUAGUC
This 460-nucleotide ribosomal RNA is filed under the name uncultured bacterium. Its description in RNAcentral is "partial 16S ribosomal RNA". It matches the Rfam family "Bacterial small subunit ribosomal RNA", at positions 338 to 795 of the family's 1533-position model. The record is from RNAcentral.